AGUAGAAUGGCUGAGAUGUAAUAGGUGAUAGAUUGUAAAUCUAUGAAGGGAUUAAUAAAAUCCUUCUGCU
This 70-nucleotide transfer RNA is filed under the name Therea olegrandjeani. RNAcentral's name for it is "tRNA-Tyr". The record is from RNAcentral. Lineage: Eukaryota; Metazoa; Arthropoda; Insecta; Blattodea; Corydiidae.